UCUUAUCGAGAGUGACGGAGGGAUCAGGCCCUAUGAAGUCCGGCAACCUUCAAGCAAAUGCUUGAAAAGGUGCUAAAUCCUGCAGGCAGUAAAUGUCUGGAAGAUAAGA
This 109-nucleotide non-coding RNA is filed under the name uncultured Cytobacillus sp. RNAcentral describes it as "SAM riboswitch (S box leader)". It matches the Rfam family "SAM riboswitch aptamer (S box leader)". From Rfam's summary of the family: The SAM riboswitch is found upstream of a number of genes which code for proteins involved in methionine or cysteine biosynthesis in Gram-positive bacteria. The SAM riboswitch acts at the level of transcription termination control. The predicted structure consists of a complex stem-loop region followed by a single stem loop terminator region. Lineage: Bacteria; Bacillati; Bacillota; Bacilli; Caryophanales; Bacillaceae. The record is from RNAcentral.